UACAGAGGGUGCGAGCGUUAAUCGGAAUUACUGGGCGUAAAGCGCACGUAGGCGGCUUGGUAUGUCGGGUGUGAAAUCCCCAGGCUUAACCUGGGAACUGCGUCGGAUACUGGUUGGCUUGAAUCCGGGAGAGGGAUGCGGAAUUCCAGGUGUAGCGGUGAAAUGCGUAGAUAUCUGGAGGAACACCGGUGGCGAAGGCGGCAUCCUGGACCGGCAUUGACGCUGAGGCGCGAAAGCUAGGGGAGCGAACAGG
RNAcentral lists this ribosomal RNA (253 nucleotides) under uncultured bacterium. RNAcentral's name for it is "partial 16S ribosomal RNA". It matches the Rfam family "Bacterial small subunit ribosomal RNA", at positions 524 to 776 of the family's 1533-position model. The record is from RNAcentral.